This 253-nucleotide ribosomal RNA is filed under the name uncultured bacterium. Its description in RNAcentral is "partial 16S ribosomal RNA". It matches the Rfam family "Bacterial small subunit ribosomal RNA", at positions 524 to 776 of the family's 1533-position model. The record is from RNAcentral.
UACGGAGGGUGCGAGCGUUGUCCGGAAUUACUGGGCGUAAAGAGCUCGUAGGUGGUUUGUCGCGUUGUUCGUGAAAACUCACAGCUCAACUGUGGGCGUGCGGGCGAUACGGGCAGACUGGAGUACUGCAGGGGAGACUGGAAUUCCUGGUGUAGCGGUGGAAUGCGCAGAUAUCAGGAAGAACACCAACGGCGAAGGCAGCUCGCUGGGACGGUACUGACGCUGAGACGCGAAAGCGUGGGGAGCGAACAGG